UACAGAGGGUGCGAGCGUUAAUCGGAAUUACUGGGCGUAAAGCGCGCGUAGGUGGCGACGUAAGUCGGGUGUGAAAGCCCCGGGCUCAACCUGGGAAUUGCAUUCGAAACUGCAUUGCUGGAGUACGGAAGAGGAGGGCGGAAUUCCCGGUGUAGCGGUGAAAUGCGUAGAUAUCGGGAGGAACAUCAGUGGCGAAGGCGGCCCUCUGGUCCAGUACUGACACUCAAGUGCGAAAGCGUGGGGAGCAAACAGG
RNAcentral lists this ribosomal RNA (253 nucleotides) under uncultured bacterium. Its description in RNAcentral is "partial 16S ribosomal RNA". It matches the Rfam family "Bacterial small subunit ribosomal RNA", at positions 524 to 776 of the family's 1533-position model. The record is from RNAcentral.